RNAcentral lists this transfer RNA (61 nucleotides) under Sibynophis collaris (collared black-headed snake). RNAcentral describes it as "tRNA-Gly". The record is from RNAcentral. RNAcentral also lists the same sequence under 1 other name. Lineage: Eukaryota; Metazoa; Chordata; Lepidosauria; Squamata; Sibynophiidae.
AUUUCUUUAGUAUAUAAGUACAUAUGCCUUCCAAGCAUCUAGCCCCUACAGGGAAGAAAUA